Long non-coding RNA from Dicentrarchus labrax (European seabass), 1690 nucleotides. RefSeq lists it as uncharacterized. The record is from RefSeq and is a predicted model, not a curated record. NCBI's taxonomy places the organism in Eukaryota, Metazoa, Chordata, Actinopteri, Moronidae. The transcript has 3 exons.
ACUUAAUAAUUCACUGCCUUUAAAUAUGUCAUGAGACCUCCGAGAACAGUUAUACACUAUUAAAUAAUCAUUGCAUUUGCAGUGCUAAUCUCUUGGCAUGGCUGAAUAAUUUAGAGAUCUUUUCUAUAAAGGUCUAAAUCAUUUUUAGGUUAGAGGCUGAAUGGAAUGAUUCAAGUGGCUGGCUGGGGACUCACUGAGGACCAUAUAGGUUGAAGUAUAAGGGACAGAAUCGUUAGCAGUCACUGAACCCUACAUACACUGUAGUAUUCUGUUAUUUUUGGUACCAGAUCGAUUACAUUAAAGACACUUUUGUUCUUGUGACUUACAGUAAAUAUAUAUGAAGGACUGAAAUCGCCAAAAUCAAAAACAAAUAAAUUACCUAAUUAAUGAAUAUAGGCAGGGGUGGACUGGCCAUCUGGCAUACCGGGCAUUGUCCCGGUGGGCCGUUGACCCAAUGUGGGCCGGUCCGGUCCGCUAUGUUUUUUUGUUUUUUUUCUCUCUCUAAAUUCCCUCCAAUUGGGCCGGCCAAUUGGUUACAGAGGGUUAGCAAUGUGUUGCCAGCAUCGACACAUAUUAUUGGUCUAUGUUUGUCAUUGUCAAUCAAUCAUGGGCUGACAGGCUCAGAGAGCCCUGACAGUGCUGUCAAUCACAACACAAACCUAAUGGCAUGGGCCAGAGUCGCGGGACGGGCUGCUGCUGAGCUGAAAAUAGAUAAGCGUAAGAAACGCCCAGGUGACGCUGAAAAACUGCGACUUAAAAAGCUGAAGUCUCUGGAAGUGGAAGCUGCUAAAUGUUGGACAUUGACAGACCUAUUUGGUGCCCGGGUCACCACCCCAGCAGGUGCUGCUGCACCGGGAGACGAGCGAGUGGAGGCAGACAUGGUGAGUAACGUUAGCCUGAGGCUGGCUAGGCUACAUUUUGAGACAUGUCCAAAACAAAGUAGAAAAUGUUUUUCCAUUGAAUGUGAUGUGACCUAAUUAACUGCAUACUUGUGACAACAUAUUAGCCCAGAGUUGAAGGGCUGUGACUGUUGGUAGUUGUGGUUGAUUUUGUUUAAAUAUGCCGAAUUGUGAUAUUAUGGAUUAUUAUUGUUCAGAUGAUUUAGCUAAACUAGUUAACAGCUGCUAACGUCAGCAGUCUCUUGUUGCCAUAGCAACACUUAACAUUGACAUGGACUAAUGAGCUAUAAAUAGAGAUGCAGAAUCAAGCUGUAUUGAAUUGAAUUGAAUACUUUGAAUUUUAGCACAAAAUACAAGUAAACCUAGAGGAAAUAAUGAGUUUAAUUUGCAAUAUUUGCCAUUGAAUUUAUUGUAAUCUUUCAAUUCAUAGGGUUAGGGUUAGAGGCUUAAUAAUGUCUCCAUGUCCCUCUCAGGUUGACCACUUGACAUGUGAGAGCCUGAGGAGUUAUUCCCCCUCCGUCCAUUUUCAAGGACUUGCUCUCUUACUGCCUCCACUUCACCAUUUUUUGGCUACUGAGACGUCUCUGAUUGGUUGACCACCCUAUAUAUGAGAGCCUAAGGAGUUGUUUUCCCUCUGUCCCCUUUUGAGGACCUUCUUUGUCUCCUCCAUCAUUCACUGGGCCACUUUUGGGUUCCUGAGCUUAUUUUAUGUGGUUUUCCUGACCUGCUAGAAGUUCUUCUAUGAUGCUUGAGAGAGAGAGAGAGAGAGAGAGAGAGAGAGAGAGAGAGAG